Molecule: non-coding RNA, 1328 nt
Organism: Pelobates cultripes (western spadefoot toad)
Lineage: Eukaryota; Metazoa; Chordata; Amphibia; Anura; Pelobatidae
Source: the annotation of a GenBank genome assembly
CCAGCCAGCUAAGCGUUAUUAUUUUCAUAUACUGUAAGACAGAGCAAGAAGUUGACCUGUCGUCUAUCAGAAUAUUCAGCCAUGCAUUGUAAAGCAAUAGUAGCAAAUCUGGCAACAAACUGCUUCAAAAAAUAUCCUGUUUUAGGAAUAUUUGCAUUUCCUUUAUAUACUGAUCUAUUUCUCACAUCAUUUCAGGUUAACAGAAAAAGUCUAUUUUAAGGGCAAUGCUAGCAAACUAUAUUUGUACGCAUGAUUGCUGAAAAUGAAAACUUGUAAUUACAUGAAAACAUGUCAUUUAAAGUGUUGCCCUUUGACUGCCCUCUGCCAUGGAAAUGGUCAGAGUCUAUCUGGAACCUACAAGUGAAGGGAGUUGAAGUUCUAAGUAGACCUUUCUCAAAUCCCUGCAAAUAAGAACCCCCUCUUUCUCUGGUUUGCAACCACAGUGUAUGCGAUGUUAAUCGAAAGCAGAAACGUAACAUAAUAAUUAGUUUUCCAUCUUUUCACUGGGCUACUCAAGCCAAUAUAUAAACUGUGUAUUCUAUGUACAGCUGUGGUUCUCACUCAGAGAGUCAUGUAUCGGAAGGAUUUCAUCUCUAGCUUAAAGUAAUCAAUUACCCCUCUGACUUAUACUCUAUCCCUAAUGUGUCUUGUCUGGAAAACAAGAGUAAACAUUUGAGUUAACUGCUGAGAGUCCAAAUAUGUGUAUCAAGAUACUUAUCCAAUCAUCUGUUGUCUACUUAUCUAUCAAAUAAAGGGUUAGAAUAAUCAUACAAAACCGACAACGGAGAAGAAAUAGUGCUUGUUAGCCAGGUCUCAAGACAUAAAGAGAAUGUGCUCCAGCACAUAAAUUUUUAUAUGAUAAUAUGUGGGAUAUGUCAGUGAAACUUGAGUUUUGUUCCUGGCUACACGAGUGCAUGUGUAUAUACGUACCGUUCACAUACUUAGAAUAUAUACUUAUAUAGAUACAUAUAUCUAUCUAUAUACAUAUAUCUAUACAUAGAUAGAUAUAUAAUUUUUUAUGCACACAUCCUUUAUAUAUUUGAGUUAAACUGCUUCAGGAAUGCCCAACUUGAAAUCCUUUUUUAACUCCCUAAAAUGCAGGAGACAUUAGUUCUUUAAUUUGUAGCUAACAUCAUCUUAAUCAGAAAAGUCACCCAUAAUUUGGUCAUGGCACAUGUGUUGAGCAUUGUUUCCAUGACAACUGUUCUGUACAUACAUACACAGCUACAUGCAGAGGCCAUGCCUCUCUGGCACAACAUUGCAAAAAGAAGGUGGAGUCCAGUGUGCAUAUCUCUGCAUGGUGACCAUUAAGGCACAGUGCAGGGGUG